RNAcentral lists this ribosomal RNA (311 nucleotides) under uncultured bacterium. RNAcentral's name for it is "bacterial SSU rRNA". It matches the Rfam family "Bacterial small subunit ribosomal RNA", at positions 28 to 334 of the family's 1533-position model. The record is from RNAcentral.
GAUGAACGCUAGCGGCAGGCCUAACACAUGCAAGUCGAGGGGUAACAGAGAGAAGCUUGCUUCUUUGCUGACGACCGGCGCACGGGUGCGUAACGCGUAUACAAUCUACCUUUUGCUGAGGGAUAGCCCAGAGAAAUUUGGAUUAAUACCUCAUAGUAUAUAUGAAUCGCAUGGUUUAUAUAUUAAAGGUUACGGCAGAAGAUGAGUAUGCGUUCUAUUAGCUAGAUGGUGUGGUAACGGCACACCAUGGCAACGAUAGAUAGGGGCCCUGAGAGGGGGAUCCCCCACACUGGUACUGAGACACGGACCAG